This 564-nucleotide ribosomal RNA is filed under the name uncultured bacterium. Its description in RNAcentral is "partial 16S ribosomal RNA". It matches the Rfam family "Bacterial small subunit ribosomal RNA", at positions 355 to 939 of the family's 1533-position model. The record is from RNAcentral.
UGGGGAAUAUUGCACAAUGGGCGAAAGCCUGAUGCAGCAACGCCGCGUGAGUGAUGAAGGCCUUCGGGUUGUAAAGCUCUGUCUUUUGGGACGAUAAUGACGGUACCAAAGGAGGAAGCCACGGCUAACUACGUGCCAGCAGCCGCGGUAAUACGUAGGUGGCAAGCGUUGUCCGGAUUUACUGGGCGUAAAGGAUGCGUAGGCGGAUUUUUAAGUGAGAUGUGAAAUACCCGGGCUUAACUUGGUGCUGCAUUUCAAACUGGGAAUCUAGAGUGCGGGAGAGGAGAAUGGAAUUCCUAGUGUAGCGGUGAAAUGCGUAGAGAUUAGGAAGAACACCAGUGGCGAAGGCGAUUCUCUGGACCGUAACUGACGCUGAGGCAUGAAAGCGUGGGUAGCAAACAGGAUUAGAUACCCUGGUAGUCCACGCCGUAAACGAUGAGUACUAGGUGUAGGAGGUAUCGACCCCUUCUGUGCCGCAGUUAACACAAUAAGUACUCCGCCUAGGAAGUACGAUCGCAAGAUUAAAACUUAAAAUGAAUUGACGGGGGUCAUAGCUGUUUUCCU